UAACGACUCUCGGCAACGGAUAUCUCGGCUCUCGCAUCGAUGAAGAACGUAGCGAAAUGCGAUACGUGGUGUGAAUUGCAGAAUUCCGUGAACCAUCGAGUUUUUGAACGCAAGUUGCGCCCGAAGCCAUUCGGCCGAGGGCACGCCUGCCUGGGCGUCACGC
This 163-nucleotide ribosomal RNA is filed under the name Lecanthus peduncularis. Its description in RNAcentral is "5.8S ribosomal RNA". It matches the Rfam family "5.8S ribosomal RNA". Rfam says of the family: 5.8S ribosomal RNA (5.8S rRNA) is a component of the large subunit of the eukaryotic ribosome. It is transcribed by RNA polymerase I as part of the 45S precursor that also contains 18S and 28S rRNA. Functionally, it is thought that 5.8S rRNA may be involved in ribosome translocation. RNAcentral also lists the same sequence under 1 other name. Lineage: Eukaryota; Viridiplantae; Streptophyta; Magnoliopsida; Rosales; Urticaceae. The record is from RNAcentral.